AUUCCUCCCCCUCAUCCUCCAUGCAGAGCCUUCACAGACGAUGAAGGCUCUGAAUGGGAGAUGAGGGGGAGGAGG
Non-coding RNA from Xyrichtys novacula (pearly razorfish), 75 nucleotides. NCBI's taxonomy places the organism in Eukaryota, Metazoa, Chordata, Actinopteri, Labriformes, Labridae. The record is from the annotation of a GenBank genome assembly.